This 301-nucleotide ribosomal RNA is filed under the name uncultured bacterium. Its description in RNAcentral is "partial 16S ribosomal RNA". It matches the Rfam family "Bacterial small subunit ribosomal RNA", at positions 509 to 809 of the family's 1533-position model. The record is from RNAcentral.
CAGUAGCCACGGGAAUACGUAGGUGGCAAGCGUUGUCCGGAAUUAUUGGGCGUAAAGCGCGCGCAGGUGGUUUAAUAAGUCUGAUGUGAAAGCCCACGGCUCAACCGUGGAGGGUCAUUGGAAACUGUUAAACUUGAGUGCAGGAGAGAAAAGUGGAAUUCCUAGUGUAGCGGUGAAAUGCGUAGAGAUUAGGAGGAACACCAGUGGCGAAAGCGGCUCUCUGGCUUGUAACUGACGCUGAGGCUCGAAAGCGUGGGGAGCAAACAGGAUUAGAUACCCCGGUAGUCCCUGUCUCUUAUAA